GACGAACGCUGGCGGCGUGCUUAACACAUGCAAGUCGAGCGGUAAGGCCCUUUCGGGGGUACACGAGCGGCGAACGGGUGAGUAACACGUGGGUGACCUGCCCUCAGCUCUGGGAUAAGCCUGGGAAACCGGGUCUAAUACUGGAUAUGACUCCAUGACGCAUGUUGUGGGGUGGGAAGCCUUGUGCGGCUGAGGAUGGGCCCGCGGCCUAUCAGCUUGUUGGUGGGGUGAGGCCUACCAAGGCGACGACGGGUAGCCGGCCUGAGAGGGCGACCGGCCACACUGGGACUGAGACACGGCCCAGACUCCUACGGGAGGCAGCAGUGGGGAAUCUUGCGCAAUGGGCGAAAGCCUGACGCAGCGACGCCGCGUGAGGGAUGACGGCCUGGUGUAAC
Molecule: ribosomal RNA, 395 nt
Filed under: uncultured bacterium
Lineage: Bacteria
Description: bacterial SSU rRNA
Rfam family: Bacterial small subunit ribosomal RNA
Source: RNAcentral